GACGAACGCUGGCGGCGUGCUUAACACAUGCAAGUCGAACGGGGUGUUUAUUUCGGUAAACACCAAGUGGCGAACGGGUGAGUAACGCGUAAGCAAUCUACCUUCAAGAUGGGGGACAACACUUCGAAAGGGGUGCUAAUACCGAAUGAAUGUAAGAGUAUCGCAUGAGACACUUACUAAAGGAGGCCUCUGAAAAUGCUUCCGCUUGAAGAUGAGCUUGCGUCUGAUUAGCUAGUUGGUGAGGGUAAAGGCCCACCAAGGCGACGAUCAGUAGCCGGUCUGAGAGGAUGAACGGCCACAUUGGGACUGAGACACGGCCCCAGACUCCUACGGGAGGCAGCAGUGGGGAAUCUUCCGCAAUGGGCGAAAGCCUGACGGAGCAACGCCGCGUGAACGAUGAAGGUCUUAGGAUCG
Molecule: ribosomal RNA, 414 nt
Filed under: uncultured bacterium
Lineage: Bacteria
Description: bacterial SSU rRNA
Rfam family: Bacterial small subunit ribosomal RNA
Source: RNAcentral